This 146-nucleotide small RNA is filed under the name Agrobacterium albertimagni AOL15. RNAcentral's name for it is "Alphaproteobacterial sRNA ar9". It matches the Rfam family "Alphaproteobacterial sRNA ar9". The record is from Rfam by way of RNAcentral. Lineage: Bacteria; Pseudomonadati; Pseudomonadota; Alphaproteobacteria; Hyphomicrobiales; Rhizobiaceae.
AUAAAAGAGGCAGGGAGUACAAAUCUUUGCCACACUCGCGGUCAAGUCUUGGGAGGAUCAGAUCUAGGCGCGCCCGUUCGCAGCCCCUUAAUUGGUGAAGGAUCACGCGAAGCUUCGAACAAGGUCUUUUGACCUUGUUUUUUUUU